Molecule: unclassified non-coding RNA, 340 nt
Filed under: fungal sp.
Lineage: Eukaryota; Fungi
Description: partial internal transcribed spacer region
Rfam family: Eukaryotic small subunit ribosomal RNA (bases 1-46)
Source: RNAcentral
AAGUCGUAACAAGGUUUCCGUAGGUGAACCUGCGGAAGGAUCAUUAACAAAUUGAUAAUCAGGGUAUCUCGUAGGCGUCUUUUGCUUUCUUGCGAAGAUGCUAGCUGGGUACGCCUGCGCAUAACUGUGUCUCUAGAGAUUAAUUUCUUUAGAGACACAUACAAACAAGUAACCUGGGGUACUUUAAGGUGAAGUGCUUUACUGUGCUUUGUCUUAGAGCCCUUCUAAUAAUCCCUAUUUUACCAUUUUACCCCUUUAUAAACUAUAAGACUGAUAUGACAUGAUAAAUGUCAAAUAUAAAACUAUAAAACAACUCUUAACAAUGGAUAUCUAGGCUCUG